Molecule: long non-coding RNA, 882 nt
Filed under: Mus spicilegus (steppe mouse)
Lineage: Eukaryota; Metazoa; Chordata; Mammalia; Rodentia; Muridae
Description: lncRNA (ENSMSIG00000017289.1)
Source: RNAcentral
AUACUCAUGUUUAUUUGGAAGAUAAGAAAAUGAGAUCCUUACUCUCAGAGAGUCAAAUCAGUUUGUAAGGCUAGGAGAUCCGGGUACCCGUCAUUUCUUGUCUUAUGGGUUUUUGAAAGGAAUGGAAAGGCAGCAAUGUGUCCGACUCUUAGAGAUGAAUUGUGAUUGGUCCUAAACCAAUCCCAGCCAGGUAAGUUGCUCUCGUUUGUCAGAUCCCCAGAUUGCUGUCCCUUUGUGAGUGCUGGAGACUGCAUGACUAGGUUUUGAACAGUGUUGAUGGUUUAUGAAAAAUAAGUUUUUGGUCCCCUGAUAAAAGGCAGGGAAAAAGGGGAUAAUUCCUAUGGCAAUCAUCUUGUGACCAUGAAACAGCAAACAACAAUAACAAACUAAGAAAUGGAGGGCGACAGAGUGGAAGGAGUGAGUCUGAUCGAAUGAACACCAGCGGCAGCAAGGACGUCCCACCAGGAAGCGUGCACAUUCAGGAGUUCCGGUUAGUUCUUGAUCUCUGGCCAAUCACAGGCCAGCUACUGUGAUGAGCCGGUGAGGAGGGGGCAGGAGGCACAGGCGCACCAGUCUGGGAUGCAGAACCCACAAGAGGCUCACAUGCUACAUCGGAAGUAAGCCUCGAGGGCAGACGUCUGAUCUCCUCCCCUGGGCUCUUGAGGACAUGACGGACAUUCUGAAAGAAGAUUAUGACAAUAUCAUAAGGCAUGGCAUAGCAGCACGGAUCCUACAAAAAUCCUCAGUUAUUCAGCAGGCAGUGAGGAUGGCUCUCCUUUCAGAAGUCUUUACCACUCAUGGCUAUGGCAUCGUUUCCUGAUAAUCAAGAAGACAAUCUGGUUGCAGUUGCUUGAAUGGAGCCAUUGAGCCGUAAGAGCAGGU